GUAGGUGGCAAGCGUUGUCCGGAAUUAUUGGGCGUAAAGCGCGCGCAGGCGGUUCUUUAAGUCUGAUGUGAAAGCCCACGGCUCAACCGUGGAGGGUCAUUGGAAACUGGAGAACUUGAGUACAGGAGAGGAAAGCGGAAUUCCACGUGUAGCGGUGAAAUGCGUAGAGAUGUGGAGGAACACCAGUGGCGAAGGCGGCUUUCUGGUCUGUAACUGACGCUGAGGCGCGAAAGCGUGGGGAGCAAACAGGGAUUAGAUACCCUGGUAGUCCACGCCGUAAACGAUGAGUGCUAAGUGUUAGGGGGUUUCCGCCCCCUUAGUGCUGCAGCUAACGCAUUAAGCACUCCGCCUGGGGAGUACGACCGCAAGGUUG
This 373-nucleotide ribosomal RNA is filed under the name uncultured organism. RNAcentral's name for it is "partial 16S ribosomal RNA". It matches the Rfam family "Bacterial small subunit ribosomal RNA", at positions 527 to 896 of the family's 1533-position model. The record is from RNAcentral.